GGGUGCGAUCAUACCAGCACUAAUGCACUGGAUCCCAUCAGAACUCCAAAAUUAAACGUGCUUGGGCGAGAGUAGUACUAAGAUGGGUGACCUCUUAGGAAGUCCUCGUGUUGCACCCC
Ricinus communis (castor bean) is the source of this 119-nucleotide non-coding RNA. The record is from Rfam. NCBI's taxonomy places the organism in Eukaryota, Viridiplantae, Streptophyta, Magnoliopsida, Malpighiales, Euphorbiaceae.